Carlito syrichta (Philippine tarsier) is the source of this 715-nucleotide long non-coding RNA. RefSeq lists it as uncharacterized. Lineage: Eukaryota; Metazoa; Chordata; Mammalia; Primates; Tarsiidae. The transcript has 3 exons. The record is from RefSeq and is a predicted model, not a curated record.
CAGAAAAGCAAGAGGAAAGGGCAUGAAUAUACAAAUAUUAAGUAUUCUUUAGCGGACCAGACAAGUGGAGAUCAGAGUCCCCUCCCACCUUGUACUCCAACGCCACCCUGUGCAGAAAUGAGAGAAGAUAAUGCUAGAGUCUAUGAGAAUGUGGGUCUGAUGCAGCAGCAGAAGAGUUUCAGAUGAGGAGACCUGCCAGAACUUCAGCACAGAAACAGAUGUGGACUUUCACCCUUUCCCUAAAAAAGUUCAAGAACAGAUGCAAGAAAGUCUAUGUGAAGAAUGAAUUUGGAUCUGGAAGGCUUGCAUUGUGGCUGACUACCUUUUGAUAAGCAAAAUUUGAAACCAUUUUAAGACCAUUGUAUUUUAACUCAACAGCACCUGAUUUCCAGUUCCUUAUUUCCUCAGACAAGAAGAAAUCAUUUCUACAAUGUAGACAAUGUUAUAUUUUAUAGCAUUCUGUUUUAAAUUGAGGAAGUAGUUAAAUUGUGCUCUAUAUUUUACAGAUUGUGGGAAUUCAAAUUCUAGUUAUGGGCAUUUUUUUAAUAACCUUAAUUUAAUUUUUUUUCUCUUUGAAGGGGAUGAUAGGGCACUUGUAAGAAGAAAUGAUUGGAAAAAUUAAGUAACAACAUCCUAGAGAAGUGAGAACAAUCUCAUUUACCAUCGCUUAUCCAGUGGUUGGAUGACUCAUUGUGGUGGCUUUUUUUUUUUUUUU